UUUACAAAGGGUUUAGGCCUAAGGAUUUUGAAGAAAAUAUACGCCUCUUCAAAGCCAAUCCAUUAUCCUAAAAAACCUUCAUAGGUAUACAUGAAUGACAUAAAUGUCUACAAAAGUUGAACAAAAGAGGUACAAUCUUUAGGGAAAGGGAAUAAUGUCCAAGUAGGGGAUACUAAUUACUGAAUGCUUCUUUUAUCGGCCUUCGCACUCUUAGCUUCGUCCAUUUCUUACAUUGGUGACAUCCAUUGACGUUCAAACUGUGCCUUAGAUGUAACCUCCCAAAUCGAUUAAUUUCUUUCUUAACCUGCUUCAAUUCUUCUUACGAAAGUAAGCAAAUCAAUCUUUUUCCCAACCCUCAAAGUAUAAUAGAUUGAUUUAGACAGACAUAUAUUUUCUUCAACACAUAAGUAUGAUUUGUCUAUAAUUGACUCGAGGUCAAUAGACACAGGGUAUGUUUUCUAAUGGUCCCAAUACCCCGCUCGAGUAUUGGGUCGUCCUAGGCUCAUGCCUAAAAUAGGGUUUUGGUUUCGUUCUACCCUCGGUGUCUAGAGUGGGUUUGAACACUGGUUCUCAAGCGGACAACUUGAGUUUGAAAAUACGAAUAGCCAUCAGACGACUCACGUGCUAAUAAACUAUUUGUAUUUCCAACACAUUUUUGGAAUUGAUCAAUAGGGGCCGGGAUACCCACGAAACCCCAAAACAGUUUAAAUAAUGUAGGAAUAUGCCAUGAGAUGCUAUAGUUGAGCUUUACAAAAUUGAAACGUAUAAACACAUAAACAGUUAAUCAAAAGAUAAAAUCAAACAUUUGGUUAGAACCUAGUUAAAGAUCCCCAUCAGAGUCUCCAUUUAUAUGUCAACAUUGUUUUGCGAAGAAAUUUUGACUUUUUGAGAGAGAGACGCCACUUAAUUUUAAAAAGGAAUUAAGAAACCUUUAGAGAAUUACUUCAAACGAUUCAAAAUAGGAUAAUUAUUUUAAGUUAGAGAUUCUAGAUUAGCGGUUCCUAUUAACAUUUUAGGAAGGUGUUAGGCAGCUAAAACGUCCGCUAACUUACGGUUAUCCGGACUGUUUGAAAACGUCUUUUGACUAACUUCGGAAAAAGAUUGAUUUGUCGAAAGUGAUUGGUUUUAGAAAAUGAUUUGUGUAAAAUAGAUUUAGGCAACUUAUUAGGGAUUUUAAACUAAGUCUAAAUAAAAUGAAUAAGCAGGUAAACACAUAAAAGGGGAAAGAGAGGAGAAAGUAAACGAUUUAGGCCAUUGGGCCCAAAUCAACGAAACUUGUCCUAGUCUAAUUGGGAUUUUAACCCAUUUCACCUGUCCUAAUCUAGUUUUCGAGCCUUUGGCGCUAAUCUUGCUCCACCUGUAUUAAAUACAACUUUGGCUUCGUGGCCCAAACGAAUGGUGAAUAAAUAAGAAAAAUAAAAUAAAGACAAUAAUACUUAAACAAAUUAAACAACAAAUGAGACUUUAGAGUCUCUUAGCCGCUUCAAAUGUGGGUCUUUAACUCACCUUUCUUCUUCUAACUCCUCGUAUUCAUACACCGCAGGGUCACUUUUAGGUCAUUGGACUGGACUCAGUAAGAUAGGCCUCAUUGGCCCGAUGAGGAAUGCACCGGAGACAGUCCACUUGAACUCUACAGUGGAUUCAUGCAAAACAGGAGAGAUAAAGAAUGUAAAGACAUGAUCAACUAAAAAAAGAAAGGGAAUUGAAGAAUGUAAACACAAAAAUCCGAUCAAGGAAAUAAAUAAGGUACGUAGUACGAGCAUCUGAAGAAAGAAAGCAUAGAGCGACAACUUAUACUCGAUCACAUCUGAAGAAAGAAAGCAUAGAGCGACAACUUAUACUCGAUCACAUCUGAAGAAAGAAAGCAUAGAGCGACAACUUAUACUCGAUCACAGGAGAAAACAAAAAUGUAGGAAAGACUAAUUAGAAGGAAUGGGGGUGCGUUCAUAUAGUAAAAUAGCAUGCUAAGUAAAUGAUAUCUUGAUGCAAACUUUUAUUUGCAUUCAGGCAUAAAUGACAUGCUUGGUGCCCAAGAGCAUAUGAUGAGGGACAACGUAGAUAAUGCAUAACAUACUGUAAUUUUAUUUGAGAGAUGUUCAUGAUCAGAAUAACCUAUGAUGCAUGUUUGGUCACUCCAACAACACCACUAAAGGAAAACUGAUUUCAAAAUUCUAUUUGAGCUAAAUAUAAUAGUCAGCAUAUGGACGAGAUUUUGAAGACAUUUACAUGCUAUUCAAUUCUAUCAAGGAGGAAAACAUUAGGAAGUCAAAGCAUAAAGCACAAAACAGUAGCCUGGAGAACGAGAUCCCCAAUGUUUGACUCAUGAUUCGCAGCCAUAGCUGACUUCUCACCCUUUUGAAGAAAACCAAUUACCUUUCAAUUUUUAGCUUUUUCUGUCACUUAAAAUAAUAACCUCGACAAUGACAACAGAUUAAUUGCACCUGGCCAUAAAAAAAAUAUUUGAAUCGGGAAGAGUGCUUAAGUUACCUGCCGCAUUAGGUCCUGGCAGCAGGUAUUUCAGGAUAAAGACAAACAGUUAUGAUGCGUUGUCCCAUCCCUAAUCCUCUAUUGAAUGUAACAUAAAUGCAACUUCAUCCCUACCUUCUUGAUUAUUGUUGACAAAGAAAGAUCCUUGGGAAUCCUUAGCCUGAACAUAAAUUAUAUGCAGUAUGAUAACAACAAAAUUAGGCUACUGCCCUGAACAGGACACAUACGAAUAUCUAGUACCCCAAAAUAUUACCAUGUUUAUCCUUCUAAUGUGUCUCCCCACUGAGGAUGAACCCAAAGGAAGGAUGCAAGUCUAACAUUCGAGUUUUCAGACGAGACAAAAGACAUAACCCAUUAAACCAAACAGAAACGUAGCAAAGUCUAGUAUCCUCAUCCUCACUUUCUUUUCGACAAACCCAAAAGGAUAAGCUUUUGGUAGCCGAUAUGAUCAUCAAGGAAUCACAAGCUUUUCUAGCCCAUCUUGGCUCUUACUCAUUGUCCCUUUGGCACAUGAGAAGCCAAAGAGACUUGAGAGGAAGCUCUGCUGGCAAUGUUACCAGCUGAGUAGGAAAAUACACGGUCCAAAACUACGUCAAACAGUCACAACGAAUGAGUCAACACAUCACUCUUUUCCUCUCUUCACUUAAAUACUUUAGACUGCAAUAUCAACGAACGAAACCCAAUGACACUUAGAUAAAUAAUAGAACGACCAUCAGAAGAGCAACUCUAGAUGAUAAACCAUCGACCUACGCAACGGUCACUGUUCUUAAUAAGAAACAGGACAAAACUAAUCAGCAAUGUCAAAAUAAGCAAUAGCAACUAAGGCAAAACCAUCAUAACCAGAUAAUACAAACAACAUUGCUUUCACCAAACCUGCGGCCUUUAAGACUUUUUACAGCAAACAACCCAGCCUCAUUCAUCAACAAACAGACAACUAUUACCACGAAGAAAGAGGGAUGAAGAAAAAUCGAUAAGUUAAAAGGGGUAAGAGUAUGUUUACCUCCUUCGGGGCAGUAAAAUGGAACAAACGAGCUAUCAUCACAGUUAUCACCGCUGGGAGCUUGAUGUUGUCGACUUGGGUACUCCCAAUUGAGUGAAUAGCUUCCAGAAAGAAGGGACGAGAAAAUUGCGCGAAAUAAACUCUUUGAUUUUAGAGUUCCUAACCCGACUUUUGAAAAGCUUCGUCUCUCACGGCUCCCGUCUUCCCUGAAUGAAGGCCCUAGAAUUUGCUAGACCAAAAUUCGAACCCCCAAAAAAGAGAAGAGAAAAAAGAACCCUGACCCCCAGGAUCUUCAAACUUUGAUUUUUGAACCCCAAAAGUCGAAAACCCAAUUUCUGAUUCCUAGGACUCCAACCCUAAAAGAGACUCUCAAGCUUAAAACGAAAACCCCAAAUUUUUUCAACCCUUUUAGACUACCAAAAAUCCCACCCCCUUCCCAGCUCAUCAGUGAGCACUUUAUAGAGACCAAUCGAGGGUAAUUUCGGGAUUUUCCAUGGAGGUCAUUUGAAGUUCCAACUAAAGAUGUAAUUUCCAGUUAAUAAUUAGUACCAAAUUCCAAUUUUCAGAGAAAUUGAAAUACGUGGACUAAUACCAUUUCAGAAAAAUGAAUGGUAUUCAAUAACCAAUGAAAAUCCCCCAACUACGUACGAAAUUGUACCAAUCAACCCGUAAGAUCCGCGAUUCGAACGUUGGAAGGGGUUGACGCAUCACUUUUCUAGAAGCUUCUAGGGCUUUAUCUCAUGGACUUGCGCGUGACGUAGUGAGGAAGACCAUGAACGGGUUGGUUGCGGGUUAACGUGGAGCUGGAUGGGUCGGGUUCAUCGAAUUCGAAGCUGUUGACGCGUCGCGAUUUAGGAGCUGUUGAUCGUGAGAUUGUUGUUGAUAUGAGUAUUGUUUGGAAGCUGCAGUAUUGUUGAAGAGAAUAAGAAAUGGGCCGAGUUGGGGUCUUGGUUGGAGAAAUUGUUAUUGUUAGGCCAACUGGGGCGGUUUAUUGGGAUAUUUAGGACGAAAUUGAGGCUGCAGUAUAUUAUUUGGGAGGGAUUCGGCUGGUAACAUUUAAAUGAAAAACAAAUGGGCUAUUGUUAUUAGUUUAAUUGGGUUAAUAAUUGGGGUUAAAAGUUAAAAUAAUCUCGAUUAAAUUUAGAAAAAAUAAACCCCAAUUGGACUAAAGGUUGUUCAAGAAUAA
RNAcentral lists this long non-coding RNA (4673 nucleotides) under Capsicum annuum. RNAcentral's name for it is "long non-coding RNA (CANN_LNC012946)". Lineage: Eukaryota; Viridiplantae; Streptophyta; Magnoliopsida; Solanales; Solanaceae. The record is from RNAcentral.